RNAcentral lists this ribosomal RNA (465 nucleotides) under uncultured bacterium. RNAcentral describes it as "partial 16S ribosomal RNA". It matches the Rfam family "Bacterial small subunit ribosomal RNA", at positions 28 to 507 of the family's 1533-position model. The record is from RNAcentral.
GACGAACGCUGGCGGCGUGCUUAACACAUGCAAGUCGAACGGAAAGGCCCUGCUUGCAGGGUACUCGAGUGGCGAACGGGCGAGUAACACGUGGGUGAUCUGCCCUGCACUUCGGGAUAAGCCUGGGCAACUGGGUCUAAUACCGGAUAGGAGCCAUUUUUAGCGUGAUGGUUGGAAAGUUUUUUCGGUGUAGGAUGAGCUUGCGGCCUAUCAGCUUGUUGGUGGGGUAAUGGCCUACCAAGGCGGCGACGGGUAGCAGGCCUGAGAGGGUGGACGGCCACAUUGAGACUGAGAUACGGCCCAGACACCGACGGGAGGCAGCAGUGGGGAAUAUUGCACAAUGGGCGCAAGCCUGAUGCAGCGACGCCGCGUGGGGGAUGACGGCCUUCGGGUUGUAAACUCAUUUCGCUAGGGACGAAGCUUUUUGUGACGGUACCUAGAUAAGAAGCACCGGCUAACUACGUG